AGUGAACGCUGGCGGUAGGCCUAACACAUGCAAGUCGAACGGCAGCACAGUAAGAGCUUGCUCUUACGGGUGGCGAGUGGCGGACGGGUGAGGAAUACCUCGGAAUCUACUUUUUCGUGGGGGAUAACGUAGGGAAACUUACGCUAAUACCGCAUACGACCUACGGGUGAAAGCAGGGGAUCUUCGGACCUUGCGCGAUUGAAUGAGCCGAUGUCGGAUUAGCUAGUUGGCGGGGUAAAGGCCCACCAAGGCGACGAUCCGUAGCUGGUCUGAGAGGAUGAUCAGCCACACUGGAACUGAGACACGGUCCAGACUCCUACGGGAGGCAGCAGUGGGGAAUAUUGGACAAGGGGCGCAAGCCUGAUCCAGCCAUACCGCGUGGGUGAAGAAGGCCUUCUGGUUGCAAAGCCCUUUUGUUGGGAAAGAAAAGCAGCAGGUUAAUACCCCGCUGUUCUGACGGUACCCAAAGAAUAAGCACCGGCUAACUUCGUG
This 492-nucleotide ribosomal RNA is filed under the name uncultured bacterium. RNAcentral describes it as "partial 16S ribosomal RNA". It matches the Rfam family "Bacterial small subunit ribosomal RNA", at positions 29 to 507 of the family's 1533-position model. The record is from RNAcentral.